CAGUAGCCGCGGUAAUACAGAGGGUGCGAGCGUUAAUCGGAUUUACUGGGCGUAAAGCGUGCGUAGGCGGCUUCUUAAGUCGGAUGUGAAAUCCCUGAUCUUAACUUAGGAAUUGCAUUCGAUACUGGGAAGCUAGAGUAUGGGAGAGGAUGGUAGAAUUCCAGGUGUAGCGGUGAAAUGCGUAGAGAUCUGGAGGAAUACCGAUGGCGAAGGCAGCCAUCUGGCCUAAUACUGACGCUGAGGUACGAAAGCAUGGGGAGCAAACAGGAUUAGAUACCCCCGUAGUCCCUGUCUCUUAUAC
This 301-nucleotide ribosomal RNA is filed under the name uncultured bacterium. Its description in RNAcentral is "partial 16S ribosomal RNA". It matches the Rfam family "Bacterial small subunit ribosomal RNA", at positions 509 to 807 of the family's 1533-position model. The record is from RNAcentral.